Molecule: ribosomal RNA, 1536 nt
Filed under: Staphylococcus aureus DAR948
Lineage: Bacteria; Bacillati; Bacillota; Bacilli; Caryophanales; Staphylococcaceae
Description: partial 16S ribosomal RNA
Rfam family: Bacterial small subunit ribosomal RNA
Source: RNAcentral
UUUGAUCCUGGCUCAGGAUGAACGCUGGCGGCGUGCCUAAUACAUGCAAGUCGAGCGAACGGACGAGAAGCUUGCUUCUCUGAUGUUAGCGGCGGACGGGUGAGUAACACGUGGAUAACCUACCUAUAAGACUGGGAUAACUUCGGGAAACCGGAGCUAAUACCGGAUAAUAUUUUGAACCGCAUGGUUCAAAAGUGAAAGACGGUCUUGCUGUCACUUAUAGAUGGAUCCGCGCUGCAUUAGCUAGUUGGUAAGGUAACGGCUUACCAAGGCAACGAUGCAUAGCCGACCUGAGAGGAUGAUCGGCCACACUGGAACUGAGACACGGUCCAGACUCCUACGGGAGGCAGCAGUAGGGAAUCUUCCGCAAUGGGCGAAAGCCUGACGGAGCAACGCCGCGUGAGUGAUGAAGGUCUUCGGAUCGUAAAACUCUGUUAUUAGGGAAGAACAUAUGUGUAAGUAACUGUGCACAUCUUGACGGUACCUAAUCAGAAAGCCACGGCUAACUACGUGCCAGCAGCCGCGGUAAUACGUAGGUGGCAAGCGUUAUCCGGAAUUAUUGGGCGUAAAGCGCGCGUAGGCGGUUUUUUAAGUCUGAUGUGAAAGCCCACGGCUCAACCGUGGAGGGUCAUUGGAAACUGGAAAACUUGAGUGCAGAAGAGGAAAGUGGAAUUCCAUGUGUAGCGGUGAAAUGCGCAGAGAUAUGGAGGAACACCAGUGGCGAAGGCGACUUUCUGGUCUGUAACUGACGCUGAUGUGCGAAAGCGUGGGGAUCAAACAGGAUUAGAUACCCUGGUAGUCCACGCCGUAAACGAUGAGUGCUAAGUGUUAGGGGGUUUCCGCCCCUUAGUGCUGCAGCUAACGCAUUAAGCACUCCGCCUGGGGAGUACGACCGCAAGGUUGAAACUCAAAGGAAUUGACGGGGACCCGCACAAGCGGUGGAGCAUGUGGUUUAAUUCGAAGCAACGCGAAGAACCUUACCAAAUCUUGACAUCCUUUGACAACUCUAGAGAUAGAGCCUUCCCCUUCGGGGGACAAAGUGACAGGUGGUGCAUGGUUGUCGUCAGCUCGUGUCGUGAGAUGUUGGGUUAAGUCCCGCAACGAGCGCAACCCUUAAGCUUAGUUGCCAUCAUUAAGUUGGGCACUCUAAGUUGACUGCCGGUGACAAACCGGAGGAAGGUGGGGAUGACGUCAAAUCAUCAUGCCCCUUAUGAUUUGGGCUACACACGUGCUACAAUGGACAAUACAAAGGGCAGCGAAACCGCGAGGUCAAGCAAAUCCCAUAAAGUUGUUCUCAGUUCGGAUUGUAGUCUGCAACUCGACUACAUGAAGCUGGAAUCGCUAGUAAUCGUAGAUCAGCAUGCUACGGUGAAUACGUUCCCGGGUCUUGUACACACCGCCCGUCACACCACGAGAGUUUGUAACACCCGAAGCCGGUGGAGUAACCUUUUAGGAGCUAGCCGUCGAAGGUGGGACAAAUGAUUGGGGUGAAGUCGUAACAAGGUAGCCGUAUCGGAAGGUGCGGCUGGAUCACCU